GAGGCUCGAAACCACAGCA
RNAcentral lists this small nuclear RNA (19 nucleotides) under Arabidopsis thaliana (thale cress). RNAcentral's name for it is "snRNA_04229". The record is from RNAcentral. Lineage: Eukaryota; Viridiplantae; Streptophyta; Magnoliopsida; Brassicales; Brassicaceae.